This 398-nucleotide ribosomal RNA is filed under the name Typhlacontias brevipes. Its description in RNAcentral is "partial 12S ribosomal RNA". It matches the Rfam family "Bacterial small subunit ribosomal RNA", at positions 797 to 1399 of the family's 1533-position model. The record is from RNAcentral. Lineage: Eukaryota; Metazoa; Chordata; Lepidosauria; Squamata; Scincidae.
AAGCCCUAAACAUUGACAAUAUUCAUACACAAUUGUUCGCCAGAGGACUACAAGCGAAAAGCUUAAAACUCAAAGGACUUGACGGUGUCCCACAUCAACCUARAGGAGCCUGUCCUAUAAUCGAUACCCCACGCUAAACCUCACCCCUCCUAGCCAUCAGCCUAUAUACCGCCGUCAAAAGCCAACCUCAUGAGAGACCCACUAGUCGGCAAAACGGUUAACAACAAAAAAGUCAGGUCAAGGUGUAGCCAAUGAAGGGGGCAGAGAUGGGCUACAUUUUCUUCCAUAGACCAUACGAAUAACAUAGUGAAACUUAUGUUUAAAGGAGGAUUUAGAAGUAAGACAAACAAGAAUACUUGUCUUAAACAAGCUCUGGGACGCGUACACACCGCCCGUCA